AUGAACGCUGGCGGCGUGCCUAAUACAUGCAAGUCGAGCGAACAGACGAGGAGCUUGCUCCUCUGACGUUAGCGGCGGACGGGUGAGUAACACGUGGAUAACCUACCUAUAAGACUGGGAUAACUUCGGGAAACCGGAGCUAAUACCGGAUAAUAUAUUGAACCGCAUGGUUCAAUAGUGAAAGACGGUUUUGCUGUCACUUAUAGAUGGAUCCGCGCCGCAUUAGCUAGUUGGUAAGGUAACGGCUUACCAAGGCAACGAUGCGUAGCCGACCUGAGAGGGUGGCCGGCCACAGUGGACCUGAGACAGGGUCAAGACCCCUGCGGGAGGAAGAAGUGGGGAUUCUUCAGCAAGGGGCGAAAGCGUGACGGAGCAACGCCGCGGGAGUGAUGAAGUUCUUCGGAUCGAAAAACUCUGUUAUGGGGAAAAAAAAAAUGUGUAAGUACCUCGCCACGUCUGGACGGUCCCUAAUAAAAACGCCACGGCUAACUCCGGG
Molecule: ribosomal RNA, 496 nt
Filed under: uncultured bacterium
Lineage: Bacteria
Description: partial 16S ribosomal RNA
Rfam family: Bacterial small subunit ribosomal RNA
Source: RNAcentral